UUGAACGCUGGCGGCAUGCCUUACACAUGCAAGUCGAACGGCAGCACGGGUGCUUGCACCUGGUGGCGAGUGGCGAACGGGUGAGUAAUACAUCGGAACAUGUCCUGUAGUGGGGGAUAGCCCGGCGAAAGCCGGAUUAAUACCGCAUACGAUCUACGGAUGAAAGCGGGGGACCUUCGGGCCUCGCGCUAUAGGGUUGGCCGAUGGCUGAUUAGCUAGUUGGUGGGGUAAAGGCCUACCAAGGCGACGAUCAGUAGCUGGUAUGAGAGGACGACCAGCCAAAAGGGAAGGGAGAAAGGGAAAAGAGUGCGAGGAGAGGAAGGAGUGGGGAAUAGUGGACAAGGGGGGAAAGCAGGAUAGAGGAAAGCGGGGUGGAAGAAGAAGGGCAGCGGGUAGGAAAGAAUGGAUGGAAGGAAAGAAAAGAGGGAGAAAAAAAGGGACGGGGGAUGACGGUAACGGAAAAAGAAGAACCGGAUAACUAAGUG
Molecule: ribosomal RNA, 485 nt
Filed under: uncultured bacterium
Lineage: Bacteria
Description: partial 16S ribosomal RNA
Rfam family: Bacterial small subunit ribosomal RNA (bases 19-329)
Source: RNAcentral